AUACGGAGGAUCCGAGCGUUAUCCGGAUUUAUUGGGUUUAAAGGGUGCGCAGGCGGGAGAUUAAGUCGGCGGGGAAAUUUUGCAGCUCAACUGUAAAAGUGCCUUCGAAACUGGUUUCCUUGAGUGUAGAUGAAGUAGGCGGAAUUUGUGGUGUAGCGGUGAAAUGCAUAGAUAUCACGAGGAACUCCGAUUGCGCAGGCAGCUUACUAAACUACUACUGACGCUCAGGCACGAAGGCGUGGGGAUCAAACAGGAUUAGAUACCCUGGUAGUCCACGCAGUAAACGAUGAUUACUAGCUGUUUGCGAUACAAUGUAAGCGGCUGAGCGAAAGCGUUAAGUAAUCCACCUGGGGAGUACGUUCGCAAGAAUGAAACUCAAAUGAAUUGACGGGG
This 393-nucleotide ribosomal RNA is filed under the name uncultured bacterium. Its description in RNAcentral is "partial 16S ribosomal RNA". It matches the Rfam family "Bacterial small subunit ribosomal RNA", at positions 523 to 918 of the family's 1533-position model. The record is from RNAcentral.